CUACGGGAUGCACCAGUGAGGAAUAUUGCACAAUGGGGGGAACCCUGAUGCAGCAACGCCGCGUGGAGGAUGACGCAUUUCGGUGUGUAAACUCCUUCUAUAUGUCAAGAAAAUGACGGUAGCAUAUGAAUAAGCACCGGCUAACUCCGUGCCAGCAGCCGCGGUAAUACGGAGGGUGCAAGCGUUACUCGGAAUCACUGGGCGUAAAGGACGCGUAGGCGGGUUGGAAAGUCAGGUGUGAAAUCCUACAGCUUAACUGUAGAACUGCACUUGAAACUUCUAAUCUAGAGUAUGGGAGGGGAGAUGGAAUUAGUGGUGUAGGGGUAAAAUCCGUAGAUAUCACUAGGAAUACCUAAAGCGAAGGCGAUCUCCUGGAACAUUACUGACGCUAAGGCGUGAAAGCGUGGGGAGCAAACAGGAUUAGAUACCCCUGUAGUC
This 438-nucleotide ribosomal RNA is filed under the name uncultured bacterium. Its description in RNAcentral is "partial 16S ribosomal RNA". It matches the Rfam family "Bacterial small subunit ribosomal RNA", at positions 339 to 795 of the family's 1533-position model. The record is from RNAcentral.